UAGGGAAUCUUCCGCAAUGGACGAAAGUCUGACGGAGCAACGCCGCGUGAGUGAUGAAGGUUUUCGGAUCGUAAAGCUCUGUUGUUAGGGAAGAACAAGUGCCGUUCAAAUAGGGCGGCACCUUGACGGUACCUAACCAGAAAGCCACGGCUAACUACGUGCCAGCAGCCGCGGUAAUACGUAGGGGGCAAGCGUUGUCCGGAAUUAUUGGGCGUAAAGGGCUCGCAGGCGGUUUCUUAAGUCUGAUGUGAAAGCCCCCGGCUCAACCGGGGAGGGUCAUUGGAAACUGGGGAACUUGAGUGCAGAAGAGGAGAGUGGAAUUCCACGUGUAGCGGUGAAAUGCGUAGAGAUGUGGAGGAACACCAGUGGCGAAGGCGACUCUCUGGUCUGUAACUGACGCUGAGGAGCGAAAGCGUGGGGAGCGAACA
RNAcentral lists this ribosomal RNA (428 nucleotides) under uncultured bacterium. Its description in RNAcentral is "partial 16S ribosomal RNA". It matches the Rfam family "Bacterial small subunit ribosomal RNA", at positions 355 to 774 of the family's 1533-position model. The record is from RNAcentral.